AGAGUAUGGGAGAGGAUGGUAGAAUUCCAGGUGUAGCGGUGAAAUGCGUAGAGAUCUGAAGGAAUACCGAUGGCGAAGGCAGCCAUCUGGCGUAAUACUGACGCUGAGGUACGAAAGCAUGGGGAGCAAACAGGAUUAGAUACCCUGGUAGUCCAUGCCGUAAACGAUGUCUACUAGCCGUUGGGGCCUUUGAGGCUUUAGUGGCGCAGCUAACGCGAUAAGUAGACCGCCUGGGGAGUACGGUCGCAAGACUAAAACUCAAAUGAAUUGACGGGGGCCCGCACAAGCGGUGGAGCAUGUGGUUUAAUUCGAUGCAACGCGAAGAACCUUACCUGGCCUUGACAUACUAGAAACUUUCCAGAGAUGGAUUGGUGCCUUCGGGAAUCUAGAUACAGGUGCUGCAUGGCUGUCGUCAGCUCGUGUCGUGAGAUGUUGGGUUAAGUCCCGCAACGAGCGCAACCCUUUUCCUUACUUGCCAGCAUUUCGGAUGGGAACUUUAAGGAUACUGCCAGUGACAAACUGGAGGAAGGCGGGGACGACGUCAAGUCAUCAUGGCCCUUACGGCCAGGGCUACACACGUGCUACAAUGGUCGGUACAAAGGGUUGCUACACAGCGAUGUGAUGCUAAUCUCAAAAAGCCGAUCGUAGUCCGGAUUGGAGUCUGCAACUCGA
RNAcentral lists this ribosomal RNA (672 nucleotides) under Acinetobacter baumannii. Its description in RNAcentral is "bacterial SSU rRNA". It matches the Rfam family "Bacterial small subunit ribosomal RNA", at positions 643 to 1315 of the family's 1533-position model. The record is from RNAcentral. Lineage: Bacteria; Pseudomonadati; Pseudomonadota; Gammaproteobacteria; Moraxellales; Moraxellaceae.